RNAcentral lists this transfer RNA (65 nucleotides) under Microtermes sp. A TB-2017. RNAcentral describes it as "tRNA-Arg". Lineage: Eukaryota; Metazoa; Arthropoda; Insecta; Blattodea; Termitidae. The record is from RNAcentral.
GAGUGAGAAGCAAAUAUUGCAAUCAGUUUCGACCUGAUCUUAGAUAAAAAAUUUAUCCACACUUU